RNAcentral lists this ribosomal RNA (468 nucleotides) under uncultured bacterium. RNAcentral's name for it is "partial 16S ribosomal RNA". It matches the Rfam family "Bacterial small subunit ribosomal RNA", at positions 28 to 507 of the family's 1533-position model. The record is from RNAcentral.
GACGAACGCUGGCGGCGUGCUUAACACAUGCAAGUCGAACGGAAAGGCCCUGCUUUUGUGGGGUGCUCGAGUGGCGAACGGGUGAGUAACACGUGAGUAACCUGCCCUUGACUUUGGGAUAACUUCAGGAAACUGGGGCUAAUACCGGAUAGGAGCUCCUGCUGCAUGGUGGGGGUUGGAAAGUUUCGGCGGUUGGGGAUGGACUCGCGGCUUAUCAGCUUGUUGGUGGGGUAGUGGCUUACCAAGGCUUUGACGGGUAGCCGGCCUGAGAGGGUGACCGGCCACAUUGGGACUGAGAUACGGCCCAGACUCGUACGGGAGGCAGAAGUGGGGAAUAUUGCAGAAUGGGCGGAAGCCUGAUGCAGCAACGCCGCGUGCGGGAUGACGGCCUUCGGGUUGUAAACCGCUUUCGCCGGUGACGAAGAGUGAGUGACGGUAAUGGGUAAAGAAGCACCGGCUAACUACGUG